AUUGAACGCUGGCGGUAUGCCUAACACAUGCAAGUCGAACGAGGUAGCAAUACCUAGUGGCGGACGGGUGAGGAAUACGUAGGGAUCUGCCUUUAAGUGGGGGAUAACCCGGGGAAACCCGGAUUAAUACCGCAUGAUCUCGCAAGAGCAAAGAGGGGGACCGCAAGGCCUCUCGCUUUUAGAGGAACCUACGUCGGAUUAGCUAGUUGGUGAGGUAAUGGCUCACCAAGGCGACGAUCCGUAACUGGUCUGAGAGGAUGAUCAGUCACACCGGAACUGAGACACGGUCCGGACUCCUACGGGAGGCAGCAGUGGGGAAUAUUGGACAAUGGGCGAAAGCCUGAUCCAGCAAUACCGCGUGUGUGAAGAAGGCCUUCGGGUUGUAAAGCACUUUAAGUUGGGAAGAAAAAGCUUCACCUAAUACGUGAAGCCUUGACGGUACCGACAGAAUAAGCACCGGCUAACUCUGUGCCAGCAGCCGCCGUAACAC
Molecule: ribosomal RNA, 490 nt
Filed under: uncultured bacterium
Lineage: Bacteria
Description: bacterial SSU rRNA
Rfam family: Bacterial small subunit ribosomal RNA
Source: RNAcentral